UACGGAGGGUGCGAGCGUUGUUCGGAAUCAUUGGGCGUAAAGAGCGUGUAGGCGGCUUGGCAAGUCAGAUGUGAAAUCCCUGGGCUCAACCCAGGAAGUGCAUUUGAAACUGCCCUGCUGGAGUAUGGGAGAGGGAAGUGGAAUUCCUGGUGUAGAGGUGAAAUUCGUAGAUAUCAGGAGGAACACCCGUGGCGAAGGCGACUUCCUGGCCCAAUACUGACGCUGAGACGCGAGAGCGUGGGGAGCAAACAGG
RNAcentral lists this ribosomal RNA (253 nucleotides) under uncultured prokaryote. RNAcentral describes it as "partial 16S ribosomal RNA". It matches the Rfam family "Bacterial small subunit ribosomal RNA", at positions 524 to 776 of the family's 1533-position model. The record is from RNAcentral.